RNAcentral lists this long non-coding RNA (347 nucleotides) under Gallus gallus (chicken). Lineage: Eukaryota; Metazoa; Chordata; Aves; Galliformes; Phasianidae. The record is from RNAcentral.
GUAGCUUUUCUUGGAGGUCAAUGAAACUGUCAUAACGCUCUUUGGUAAAAGUGAUGUUACGAAGGACUGCAGCUACAGCAUAAGGACGGAUUUUGACAGUCUCUUCAGUGAUAAUCAUCUUCUGACCUUCACCUUUAGCUGGUAUUAUCUUUUCAUACCUAGGGAGAUUUAUCCUUUCUUUAAAGACCUGCAGUCCUCGGACCAACCCUUCGAGGCAAAGAAGAUCAUAGCGGUUGGCAGGAACAUCAAUUUUAUAGAGAACAGUCUCAGAUGCACCCUCUGCCUUUCCUUCACCUUUCUCUUUACUUAUAAUGUCUUUCUCAGAUGUAACUUCAUCCAGCUCCAAC